Molecule: long non-coding RNA, 491 nt
Filed under: Lathyrus oleraceus (garden pea)
Lineage: Eukaryota; Viridiplantae; Streptophyta; Magnoliopsida; Fabales; Fabaceae
Description: Pisum sativum (pea) long non-coding RNA (PSAT_LNC009587)
Source: RNAcentral
UAUCAUUAGAGAAAUGAAGCUAAAAACUUUCAGAUCUAGAUUUUCGGCGAUAAGGCAUUUUUUUCUUCGAGCUUCACUAUCUUUCCGACCACUCUGAUCCCGACACUUGCAGCAGUCCAAACGCGUCGACUAAAGUCAAGAUUCAUUCUGCACACCAUUUGGUAAACUCUUCGAUUUUGAGUAAUUUGGAUGUGAUAUUGUUAUAAUCUUGGUAUGUUUCUCACAUUUAAUUUUUGUUUCAAUUUCUUGGCUAUGUAAAUAUUUCUUGUUGCUUGUGUUUUAUAAUUAACCUUAUAGUUAAAUCGUUUGGCAUGAGGCUACUGUAAUCGGUUCAGUAACAAUCCGUGUCAUGCUUGCCUUGAACUUAUGCUGCUUGUUAUUGAGUUCAAAAUCCUAAUUUGAGUUUUGCUUCGUAAUACUGCUUUCAGUUUGAGUGAUAUUUCUUUUGUAAUAGGUAUGAUGCAAUUAUGGUUGUCAAACACAUUUAUUUU